UACGUAGGUGGCGAGCGUUAUCCGGAAUUAUUGGGCGCAAAGAGCGCGCAGGUGGUUGAUUAAGUCUGAUGUGAAAGCCCACGGCUUAACCGUGGAGGGUCAUUGGAAACUGGUCGACUUGAGUGCAGAAGAGGGAAGUGGAAUUCCAUGUGUAGCGGUGAAAUGCGUAGAGAUAUGGAGGAACACCAGUGGCGAAGGCGGCUUCCUGGUCCGUAACUGACACUGAGGCGCGAAAGCGUGGGGAGCAAACAGGAUUAGAUACCCCGUA
This 268-nucleotide ribosomal RNA is filed under the name uncultured prokaryote. RNAcentral's name for it is "partial 16S ribosomal RNA". It matches the Rfam family "Bacterial small subunit ribosomal RNA", at positions 524 to 791 of the family's 1533-position model. The record is from RNAcentral.